RNAcentral lists this ribosomal RNA (366 nucleotides) under unidentified microorganism. Its description in RNAcentral is "bacterial SSU rRNA". It matches the Rfam family "Bacterial small subunit ribosomal RNA", at positions 1102 to 1468 of the family's 1533-position model. The record is from RNAcentral.
CCCCUAUCUUCACUAGCCAGCAUUUAANGUGGGCACUCUGGAGAGACUGCCCGGGAUAACCGGGAGGAAGGCGGGGAUGACGUCAAAUCAUCAUGCCCCUUAUGAUCAGGGCUACACACGUGCUACAAUGGCGUAAACAAAGGGAAGCAGGCCGGUGACGGUGAGCAAAUCCCAAAAAUAACGUCCCAGUUCGGAUUGUAGUCUGCAACUCGACUACAUGAAGCUGGAAUCGCUAGUAAUCGCGAAUCAGAAUGUCGCGGUGAAUACGUUCCCGGGUCUUGUACACACCGCCCGUCACACCAUGGGAGUCGGAAAUGCCCGAAGUCAGUGACCCAACCGCAAGGAGGGAGCUGCCGAAGGUGGAGC